CAGCAGCCGCGGGAAUACGAACCGUGCGAACGUUAUUCGGAAUCACUGGGCUUAAAGCGCUUGUAGGCGGGCCGCCACGUCGGCUGCUGAAAUCCCCCGGCUCAACCGGGGAAGUGGCACCGAUACGAGCGGCCUGGAGGGGGGUAGGGGGGACUGGAACUUCCGGUGGAGCGGUGAAAUGCGUUGAGAUCGGAAGGAACGCCCGUGGCGAAAGCGAGUCCCUGGACCCUUACUGACGCUGAGACGCGAAAGCCAGGGGAGCGAACAGGAUUAGAUACCCGCGUAGUCCCUGUCUCUUAUC
RNAcentral lists this ribosomal RNA (301 nucleotides) under uncultured bacterium. Its description in RNAcentral is "partial 16S ribosomal RNA". It matches the Rfam family "Bacterial small subunit ribosomal RNA", at positions 509 to 807 of the family's 1533-position model. The record is from RNAcentral.